ACACAUGCAAGUCGGACGAACCUUCGGGUUAGUGGCGGACGGGUGAGUAACGCGUGAGAAUCUGCCCUCAGGAGGGGGACAACAGCUGGAAACGGCUGCUAAUACCCCAUAUGCCGCGAGGUGAAAUGAAUUUCGCCUGAGGAUGAGCUCGCGUCUGAUUAGCUAGUUGGUGUAGGUAAUGGCUCACCAAGGCAUCGAUCAGUAGCUGGUCUGAGAGGAUGAUCAGCCGCACUGGGACUGAGACACGGCCCAGACUCCUACGGGAGGCAGCAGUGGGGAAUUUUCCGCAAUGGGCGAAAGCCUGACGGAGCAACGCCGCGUGAGGGAUGAAGGCCUCUGGGCUGUAAACCUCUUUUAUCAAGGAAGAAGAUCUGACGGUACUUGAUGAAUAAGCCACGGCUAAUUCCGUGCCAGCAGCCGCGGUAAUACGGGAGUGGCAAGCGUUAUCCGGAAUUAUUGGGCGUAAAGCGUCCGCUGGCGGCCCUUCAAGUCUGCUGUUAAAAAGUGGAGCUUAACUCCAUCAUGGCAGUGGAAACUGUUGGGCUUGAGUGUGGUAGGGGCAGAGGGAAUUCCCGGUGUAGCGGUGAAAUGCGUAGAUAUCGGGAAGAACACCAGUGGCGAAGGCGCUCUGCUGGGCCAUCACUGACGCUCAUGGACGAAAGCCAGGGGAGCGAAAGGGAUUAGAUACCCCUGUAGUCCUGGCCGUAAACGAUGAACACUAGGUGUCGGGGGAAUCGACCCCCUCGGUGUCGUAGCCAACGCGUUAAGUGUUCCGCCUGGGGAGUACGCACGCAAGUGUGAAACUCAAAGGAAUUGACGGGGGCCCGCACAAGCGGUGGAGUAUGUGUUUAAUUCGAUGCAACGCGAAGAACCUUACCAGGGUUUGACAUCCUGCGAAUCUCUUGAAACAGGAGAGUGCCUUCGGGACGCAGUGACAGGUGGUGCAUGCUGUCGUCAGCUCGUGUCGUGAGAUGUGGAUAGUCCGCACGAGCGCACCACGUCUUAGUGCAGCAUUAGUGGUACUCUAGAGAGACUGCG
RNAcentral lists this ribosomal RNA (1038 nucleotides) under uncultured Synechococcus sp. RNAcentral describes it as "bacterial SSU rRNA". It matches the Rfam family "Bacterial small subunit ribosomal RNA", at positions 51 to 1153 of the family's 1533-position model. The record is from RNAcentral. Lineage: Bacteria; Bacillati; Cyanobacteriota; Cyanophyceae; Synechococcales; Synechococcaceae.